Molecule: ribosomal RNA, 2907 nt
Filed under: Salmonella enterica
Lineage: Bacteria; Pseudomonadati; Pseudomonadota; Gammaproteobacteria; Enterobacterales; Enterobacteriaceae
Description: bacterial LSU rRNA
Rfam family: Bacterial large subunit ribosomal RNA
Source: RNAcentral
UUAAGCGACCAAGCGUACACGGUGGAUGCCCUGGCAGUCAGAGGCGAUGAAGGACGUGCUAAUCUGCGAUAAGCGCCGGUAAGGUGAUAUGAACCGUUAUAACCGGCGAUUUCCGAAUGGGGAAACCCAGUGUGAUUUGUCACACUAUCAUUAACUGAAUCCAUAGGUUAAUGAGGCGAACCGGGGGAACUGAAACAUCUAAGUACCCCGAGGAAAAGAAAUCAACCGAGAUUCCCCCAGUAGCGGCGAGCGAACGGGGAGGAGCCCAGAGCCUGAAUCAGCAUGUGUGUUAGUGGAAGCGUCUGGAAAGGCGCGCGAUACAGGGUGACAGCCCCGUACACAAAAGCGCAUGUGCUGUGAGCUCGAUGAGUAGGGCGGGACACGUGGUAUCCUGUCUGAAUAUGGGGGGACCAUCCUCCAAGGCUAAAUACUCCUGACUGACCGAUAGUGAACCAGUACCGUGAGGGAAAGGCGAAAAGAACCCCGGCGAGGGGAGUGAAACAGAACCUGAAACCGUGUACGUACAAGCAGUGGGAGCACAGGUUUACCUGUGUGACUGCGUACCUUUUGUAUAAUGGGUCAGCGACUUAUAUUCUGUAGCAAGGUUAACCGCAUAGGGGAGCCGAAGGGAAACCGAGUCUUAAUUGGGCGUUAAGUUGCAGGGUAUAGACCCGAAACCCGGUGAUCUAGCCAUGGGCAGGUUGAAGGUUGGGUAACACUAACUGGAGGACCGAACCGACUAAUGUUGAAAAAUUAGCGGAUGACCUGUGGCUGGGGGUGAAAGGCCAAUCAAACCGGGAGAUAGCUGGUUCUCCCCGAAAGCUAUUUAGGUAGCGCCUCGUGAACUCAUCUCCGGGGGUAGAGCACUGUUUCGGCUAGGGGGCCAUCCCGGCUUACCAACCCGAUGCAAACUGCGAAUACCGGAGAAUGUUAUCACGGGAGACACACGGCGGGUGCUAACGUCCGUCGUGAAGAGGGAAACAACCCAGACCGCCAGCUAAGGUCCCAAAGUCAUGGUUAAGUGGGAAACGAUGUGGGAAGGCCCAGACAGCCAGGAUGUUGGCUUAGAAGCAGCCAUCAUUUAAAGAAAGCGUAAUAGCUCACUGGUCGAGUCGGCCUGCGCGGAAGAUGUAACGGGGCUAAACCAUGCACCGAAGCUGCGGCAGCGACGCUUAUGCGUUGUUGGGUAGGGGAGCGUUCUGUAAGCCUGCGAAGGUGGCCUGUGAGGGUUGCUGGAGGUAUCAGAAGUGCGAAUGCUGACAUAAGUAACGAUAAAGCGGGUGAAAAGCCCGCUCGCCGGAAGACCAAGGGUUCCUGUCCAACGUUAAUCGGGGCAGGGUGAGUCGACCCCUAAGGCGAGGCCGAAAGGCGUAGUCGAUGGGAAACGGGUUAAUAUUCCCGUACUUGGUGUUACUGCGAAGGGGGGACGGAGAAGGCUAUGUUGGCCGGGCGACGGUUGUCCCGGUUUAAGCAUGUAGGCGGAGGUUCCAGGUAAAUCCGGAACGUUACUAACGCUGAGGUGUGAUGACGAGGCACCACGGUGCUGAAGCAACAAAUGCCCUGCUUCCAGGAAAAGCCUCUAAGCAUCAGGUAACAUCAAAUCGUACCCCAAACCGACACAGGUGGUCAGGUAGAGAAUACCAAGGCGCUUGAGAGAACUCGGGUGAAGGAACUAGGCAAAAUGGUGCCGUAACUUCGGGAGAAGGCACGCUGACACGUAGGUGAAGUGAUUUACUCAUGGAGCUGAAGUCAGUCGAAGAUACCAGCUGGCUGCAACUGUUUAUUAAAAACACAGCACUGUGCAAACACGAAAGUGGACGUAUACGGUGUGACGCCUGCCCGGUGCCGGAAGGUUAAUUGAUGGGGUCAGCGCAAGCGAAGCUCCUGAUCGAAGCCCCGGUAAACGGCGGCCGUAACUAUAACGGUCCUAAGGUAGCGAAAUUCCUUGUCGGGUAAGUUCCGACCUGCACGAAUGGCGUAAUGAUGGCCAGGCUGUCUCCACCCGAGACUCAGUGAAAUUGAACUCGCUGUGAAGAUGCAGUGUACCCGCGGCAAGACGGAAAGACCCCGUGAACCUUUACUAUAGCUUGACACUGAACAUUGAGCCUUGAUGUGUAGGAUAGGUGGGAGGCUUUGAAGCGUGGACGCCAGUCUGCGUGGAGCCAACCUUGAAAUACCACCCUUUAAUGUUUGAUGUUCUAACGUGGACCCGUGAUCCGGGUUGCGGACAGUGUCUGGUGGGUAGUUUGACUGGGGCGGUCUCCUCCUAAAGAGUAACGGAGGAGCACGAAGGUUGGCUAAUCCUGGUCGGACAUCAGGAGGUUAGUGCAAUGGCAUAAGCCAGCUUGACUGCGAGCGUGACGGCGCGAGCAGGUGCGAAAGCAGGUCAUAGUGAUCCGGUGGUUCUGAAUGGAAGGGCCAUCGCUCAACGGAUAAAAGGUACUCCGGGGAUAACAGGCUGAUACCGCCCAAGAGUUCAUAUCGACGGCGGUGUUUGGCACCUCGAUGUCGGCUCAUCACAUCCUGGGGCUGAAGUAGGUCCCAAGGGUAUGGCUGUUCGCCAUUUAAAGUGGUACGCGAGCUGGGUUUAGAACGUCGUGAGACAGUUCGGUCCCUAUCUGCCGUGGGCGCUGGAGAACUGAGGGGGGCUGCUCCUAGUACGAGAGGACCGGAGUGGACGCAUCACUGGUGUUCGGGUUGUCAUGCCAAUGGCACUGCCCGGUAGCUAAAUGCGGAAGAGAUAAGUGCUGAAAGCAUCUAAGCACGAAACUUGCCCCGAGAUGAGUUCUCCCUGAGACUUAGAGUCUCCUGAAGGAACGUUGAAGACGACGACGUUGAUAGGCCGGGUGUGUAAGCGCAGCGAUGCGUUGAGCUAACCGGUACUAAUGAACCGUGAGGCUUAACCUU